Molecule: ribosomal RNA, 365 nt
Filed under: uncultured bacterium
Lineage: Bacteria
Description: bacterial SSU rRNA
Rfam family: Bacterial small subunit ribosomal RNA
Source: RNAcentral
AUUGAACGCUGGCGGCAGGCUUAACACAUGCAAGUCGAGCGGAGACUUCGGUCUUAGCGGCGAACGGGUGAGGAAUGCCUGGGAAUCUGCCUGGUAGUGGGGGAUAACGUUCCGAAAGGAACGCUAAUACCGCAUACGUCCUACGGGAGAAAGCAGGGGACCUUCGGGCCUUGCGCUAUCAGAUGAGCCCAGGUCGGAUUAGCUAGUAGGUGAGGUAAAGGCUCACCUAGGCGACGAUCCGUAGCUGGUCUGAGAGGAUGAUCAGCCACACUGGAACUGAGACACGGUCCAGACUCCUACGGGAGGCAGCAGUGGGGAAUAUUGGACAAUGGGCGAAAGCCUGAUCCAGCCAUGCCGCGUGUGUG